RNAcentral lists this ribosomal RNA (253 nucleotides) under uncultured bacterium. Its description in RNAcentral is "partial 16S ribosomal RNA". It matches the Rfam family "Bacterial small subunit ribosomal RNA", at positions 524 to 776 of the family's 1533-position model. The record is from RNAcentral.
GACGAACCGUGCGAACGUUGUUCGGAAUCACUGGGCUUAAAGGGCGCGUAGGCGGGCCGGCCGGUCCGGGGUGAAAGCCCCCAGCUCAACUGGGGAAGCGCCCUGGAUACCGCCGGCCUCGAGGGGGGUAGGGGCGCGCGGAACUUCCGGUGGAGCGGUGAAAUGCGUAGAUAUCGGAAGGAACACCGGUGGCGAAGGCGGCACGCUGGGCCCUUGCUGACGCUGAGGCGCGAAAGCCAGGGGAGCAAACGGG